CUACGGGAUGCUCCAGUGGGGAAUAUUGCACAAUGGGGGAAACCCUGAUGCAGCAAUGCCGCGUGAAGGAUGAAGGUUUUCGGAUCGUAAACUUCUUUCGCUGGGGAAGAAAAAAAUGACGGUACCCAGAUAAGAAGCCCCGGCUAACUAUGUGCCAGCAGCCGCGGUAAUACAUAGGGGGCAAGCGUUAUCCGGAAUUACUGGGUGUAAAGGGUGCGUAGGCGGCAAUACAAGUCAGGUGUGAAAACCCGGGGCUCAACUCCGGGACUGCACUUGAAACUGUAUAGCUAGAGUACAGGAGAGGUAGGCGGAAUUCCUAGUGUAGCGGUGAAAUGCGUAGAUAUUAGGAAGAACACCAGUGGCGAAGGCGGCUUACUGGACUGAAACUGACGCUGAGGCACGAAAGCGUGGGGAGCGAACAGGAUUAGAUACCCGCGUAGUC
This 442-nucleotide ribosomal RNA is filed under the name uncultured bacterium. Its description in RNAcentral is "partial 16S ribosomal RNA". It matches the Rfam family "Bacterial small subunit ribosomal RNA", at positions 339 to 795 of the family's 1533-position model. The record is from RNAcentral.